GAGAACAGUCUUUGGCUGAGGGGAGGCAGGCUGGGGUGGGUCAGCUGCACUGGACUCUUCCCUCAAGUCCUUGCUCCCUGGUCAUGGGUGGGAGGCCAGUGUCCAGCUUUCUAGGUCAAUAGUCAGUCAUGUGGUCUCGCAGAGCCAGGCUGUGCCUAGGCCCUGAGACUGUGGUCCUGAUAUCCCAUCCCUCUCUCUUCCCCUUCAUUCCUAGUUUGUGAUGAUAAACUGAUGUGACUCCAUUUUUGAGAAACCAGCCUCUACCUCAGAGCAAAGCCUGUCCAAGGAAGGGGGCAUGACACUUGUCCUUGGAAAAACCCACAGAGCACUCCUAAGCACAUACCCACCCUGCUGAGUUGUUUGUCUGCAAAUAUCAGGAGGGAUCUGUGGUGCCAGGUGUUCCUGACUCAGUUAGGCUAGGUGAGGACAGGAAAAAUACCUGGAAUGCCAGAUGACCCCCAGUAGUUUAUGGUGGUUGAUAACAGGUUGGGAAACCAUGUAGUUUAGCAUGUACACCCCUCAUGGCUUAAACCAAUCAGUUCAAAGGAAUCCCCCUCUUGUACUAAGUAGUCACCCCUAUCCAACUUGUUCCCAUCAGUGAAUGUGCUAAUCAAUGUUAAGAGUUGUUGUUUGAUUUUUCCCGCGGUAUGGAAAGAUUUGCUGUGUGAUGUUGUGAUGCAUAGAGUAUCCUCAAAAAAAAACCUAUAAAGUCUCACUGAACAAAGGACCAGGACUCACUCCCUGGGACUGCUGCAUCGGCAAUGGUUGUG
Molecule: long non-coding RNA, 770 nt
Filed under: Marmota monax (woodchuck)
Lineage: Eukaryota; Metazoa; Chordata; Mammalia; Rodentia; Sciuridae
Source: RNAcentral